GCGGAUGUAGCUCAGUCGGCUAGAGCGUCUGCUUGCCAUGCAGAAGGUCGUGGGUUCGAGUCCCAUCAUCCGCU
This 74-nucleotide transfer RNA is filed under the name Thermoleophilia bacterium. Its description in RNAcentral is "tRNA-Gly". It matches the Rfam family "tRNA". From Rfam's summary of the family: Transfer RNA (tRNA) molecules are approximately 80 nucleotides in length. Their secondary structure includes four short double-helical elements and three loops (D, anti-codon, and T loops). RNAcentral also lists the same sequence under 5 other names. The record is from RNAcentral. Lineage: Bacteria; Bacillati; Actinomycetota; Thermoleophilia.